CCCGGUGCCCCCGAUACGCGCGCUCAGCAGCACUCAGAGACAUUUUUCUCCUUCACCUGCUGCAGGGACAGGUGGAAAGGGGAGAUUCCUGGCACCGCUUGGGUUUCCUUGGAGUCCACCCAUUGCCAAAAGAUAUGUUUCCAUUGAGGCAUCCAGCAAGCUGAUCCAUAGGAAUUUGGAAGAAUGGGACCCGGCUAAGAUGAGUGCCUGCUGCCCGCCCUUUGGCUCACCCUAAGGUUUGGGAGCUGCUGCUGCGCUGUUGGAGACGUCAGCCCCGGGGUGAUCCAGUGCACACUGUCGGCUCUCACACAAACUGCCUGGAAAGAGACGGGACCUCUUCAACAGUACUGCGCCUAAGAAGUGUUAUCUUACAGGCCAGAAGAAUCUUCAGACCCAAGUGCACAGCUGCAGGUCCCCAAGGACUUGCUGUGGGGGGGGCUCUGCUGGGACAGGACGCAAACGAGAGAGCCAGGGUGGACGGAGGAGAGGGAGCCGCGAGGGGCUGAGCCGGGGCCUGAACUAAACUGCACCCAGUUGCAUACCAUGGUUUCAGUGUGACCUAUGACUUCGAAGGAGUAGUCCACGCCGAGGCCAGUCAUCUCCAUCAACACUUCAUGAAUGGGCUUCGUGAAGUCUUUAGGGUUGACGCAGUCGGUGGCUCCCAGCUCUU
Long non-coding RNA from Dromaius novaehollandiae (emu), 670 nucleotides. RefSeq lists it as uncharacterized. The record is from RefSeq and is a predicted model, not a curated record. The transcript has 5 exons. Lineage: Eukaryota; Metazoa; Chordata; Aves; Casuariiformes; Dromaiidae.